AACCACUUCGGUGGGGAUUAGUGGCGAACGGGUGAGUAACACGUGGGCAAUCUGCCCUUCACUCUGGGACAAGCCCUGGAAACGGGGUCUAAUACCGGAUACCACUACCGCAGGCAUCUGUGGUGGUUGAAAGCUCCGGCGGUGAAGGAUGAGCCCGCGGCCUAUCAGCUUGUUGGUGAGGUAAUGGCUCACCAAGGCGACGACGGGUAGCCGGCCUGAGAGGGCGACCGGCCACACUGGGACUGAGACACGGCCCAGACUCCUACGGGAGGCAGCAGUGGGGAAUAUUGCACAAUGGGCGAAAGCCUGAUGCAGCGACGCCGCGUGAGGGAUGACGGCCUUCGGGUUGUAAACCUCUUUCAGCAGGGAAGAAGCGAAAGUGACGGUACCUGCAGAAGAAGCGCCGGCUAACUACGUGCCAGCAGCCGCGGUAAUACGUAGGGCGCAAGCGUUGUCCGGAAUUAUUGGGCGUAAAGAGCUCGUAGGCGGCUUGUCACGUCGGGUGUGAAAGCCCGGGGCUUAACCCCGGGUCUGCAUUC
This 539-nucleotide ribosomal RNA is filed under the name Streptomyces sp. B7(2006). RNAcentral's name for it is "bacterial SSU rRNA". It matches the Rfam family "Bacterial small subunit ribosomal RNA", at positions 72 to 628 of the family's 1533-position model. Lineage: Bacteria; Bacillati; Actinomycetota; Actinomycetes; Kitasatosporales; Streptomycetaceae. The record is from RNAcentral.